This 75-nucleotide transfer RNA is filed under the name Bdellovibrionales bacterium. RNAcentral's name for it is "tRNA-Asn". It matches the Rfam family "tRNA". From Rfam's summary of the family: Transfer RNA (tRNA) molecules are approximately 80 nucleotides in length. Their secondary structure includes four short double-helical elements and three loops (D, anti-codon, and T loops). Lineage: Bacteria; Pseudomonadati; Bdellovibrionota; Bdellovibrionia; Bdellovibrionales. The record is from RNAcentral.
UGGCCAGUAGCUCAGUGGUAGAGCAAUCGGCUGUUAACCGAUUGGUCGUAGGUUCAAGUCCUACCUGGCCAGCCA